AGGUGUGGAAUCUACGGCUUUGCAGGGAAAGGAAAAGGAUCAAAUAGAGGUUGUUGGAGAUGGGAUUGAUGCAGUGAAGCUUGCAACUUUGCUCAGAAAAAAUGUUGGCUAUGCAGAGCUUGUGACCGUGAGCCCAGUUGGUGAGAAGAAAGAUGGUGAUAAAAAGGAUGAUGGCAAGACAGAUCCCAGUUCUACGGAGCCACCUGUGGUUUGGUCCACUUAUCCUUAUGUUUACAGCAGCGUACCUCACCAUCUCUAUCAAGCUAGAGACCCCUAUUAUGACUCCAACUGCACCAUCAUGUAAGAAAGCAGGACACAAGAAAUUUGGGAAUUUUAGGGUGACCGAUCUUUUUCCCAGUCAUACAUGGAAAAGUGAAGUUCAGGGGUGCUGCUAAAUUUUAGGCAUGGUCCUCCAGAGAACUGGAAUAAAGAUGAGAAUUCAAUCAUAAUAAGGUGAAGGGAAGAUACUUGGGUCCGUAGGGGGAGGACUCUCUUUCCUGGGGCUGGGGCUAAUAAACCAGUUGGAGCUAUUGCCUAGGUCUAAAUUUUGGCUUGUUUCAAGUAGUUGGUUGGUUUGUAUAUUCGGUGGUUGUAUUUGAGAUCCUAGGAACAAGUGUUUCGAUAACCAAUAUUUUGUUUCCAAUCAUAAAUAUAUUUUUUAAUUCACUUUUUUAUAUCACUUUAUUAUAUUUUCAAUCCAUCUUUCGUGCUAUUUUUUUAUAUCAUAAAAAAUAUUAGUAUAAUAAUUAUUUCGAAUAAUAUUUUAAUUAAUACUUUAUCCAAAUACUAAUAUCCGUGUGGUACCAUUUUUUUUCGCCCUUGUUUUGUAAGUUUGAUUUGUUUUUGCAGAGAGAAAGUUAAAGCAUAUUAGAUUUAUUUGCGUAAUUGAAUUAAUGAGAGAGUUUUUGACAUUCCAACGAGUUGAUCCUUAAUUAAUUAAGCUUCGUUUCUCAACCAUAGAAAUCAAGAUGGUAGUUUGUAGCACAUGGUUUAUGCAAGUUAUAUUGUACUUAAAACCUUGGGAUGCAACUGAAUCGAGCUGCUCGUUUGGAGUUGAUCAAGAUGAAUUCGAGUUCAAAAAUUUUUAGUUCGUUAGCUAGCGAUCCGACUCGAGUAUAUAUAUAUUAUUUUUUAUUUUAAUAGUAAAAUUACAUAUAUAUUUUUUAAUAUUUUAUUAUUUGUUACAAAAAUUAUUAUUUUAUCUAUUUUUAAAAAUAAAAAUAAUUAUUUUUAAUUUUUUAAUUUCGAAUUUGAACUUUACAUUGAGAGCUCAUCGAACUCGAAUUAGAGUUCGAGUUUCAUAAAAUUAAAUUGAGAUUCGACUCGACUCGGCUCGUUUGCACCCCUGCUUAAAGUCACGUCAAGGGGUUAUAUCCAUUCGGUAACGAAAUACUAAACAACAAUUUAACAGUAGUAUAAUUUGAUGUAUGAUAAGAUUAUGGAUGACUAUACGAAUAUGCUUCCUUGAACCAAAAAUAAAGAGAGUAAAUUAACAAACCUGCAGCCCAAUUCUUUAUCCAUCCACUAAGAAAGAUUAGGGCCUGCCUGACUCCUCUGAUGCCAAACUAGGAAGAGUCAAGAAAUCUUGACAAUGCUUUUCUUAGAUGGCAUCCAGGGAGCCAGGCAGACCAUUUCUGCCUGCAUUUAUUUGGAUGAUGUUGGUUUAGCUGAUAUCCUUCCUCAACAUUAUUGUUUUCUGCAUCGUGCAACACGUUCUAAUGAAAAAAGUCCUAUGGCUGUUAGUUGUUACACAAUCGAUUCAUAAAAUUCUGGAAUUUUCUUAAAUUUGACGAUAAAAUGUGCACCAAAGAAUUUUUUUUUUUUGGCCUUUCUUUCUUUUAAUGUUCCUACAUCAAAGUAGUCAUCAGUUCACAUAUUUUCCAAACAUAAGGAAAUGAAAUCAGAACUUUUGAUAAGUUACAUACACAACACGACCCGAUAUAGGGUUCACGGCAUAUUUUAUCUGAUUCCAAUGAAUGAAAGGUGAGACAGUACCUUCUAAAAAGACUUUUCUUUUACUCCUCCUUUUGUGUUCGAGAGAUUACCCCAUAUAUUAUUAUUUUUCCGUGUUGAAUUUUCCUUAGUCGAAGUAGUCAGCAGUUCGUAUAUUUUCCAAACAUGAUAUAAUCAUAUACUAGCUUCGCAAAAUCGAUCCUUCUGUUCUGUGCCUGGAUUAAGAUGUUGUUGGGUUCAAUUUCCUGCGGUUUUCUUGUUAGACAAAUUUCUGGGAUUGAGCUUGAACUCAUGUUUAUUUCAAUUGUUUCGCUUUUUUUUUUUUUUUUUUUUUUUUUUCUCUGCAAUAGUUCUUUUGUGGCCAGAACAUUCAAGACAUUAAUGCUUAAAAAGAUGUAAGAGGAAAACCUCCUCAACCUACAGCAAGUCAAAUUUGGUUUCCAUUGGAGGACUGCUCCUAAAUUUCACGCGUUCACGCUUCACACACAAAGUUGACGCGGUUGGGAGAAAGGACCCCGGCUAAAGUAGAACCGAAGGGUGUCAGAAUUUUCCAACUUGAUUUAGGCUCUGUUUGGAUUCAGAUUUUUUUGAAAAAUAAUUUUUUUAUCUACAAUGGUACAGUAAUACACAAAUAAAAAUAAUUUCAAAUACAUCAUAUCUAUACAAUAUAUAAAAAAUAACUCCAAAUAUACAAAAUAAAAUUACACAACUAUCCAUCACUCUCCACCAUCACGGCCACCACCCCCACACUCACGACUCUCUCUCCGCUCAUCUUUCCUCCGUCUCUCCUCCUUUUUUCCUCUUCCUCUAUCUCUUUCUCCUUCCUCCUUUCUUCUUUCCCUUUCCCCGCCCCCCAAUUUUCUUCUUCUCGACUGAUCGCACCCUUCUUAGUCACAAUCAAAUCUGAUUGCGACUGAAGCCGUGACCAAAACGAUCGUGGUUAGAAUGGUGACUAAAGUCGCAGCCACCACUAGCGAGCAAGAGAGGGGUUUGGAGUUGGGGGGAAGGAGGGGAGGGGGAGAAGGAAGAAGGGGGAAGGAGGAGGAGGAGGAGGCAAUAGAGGGGAAGAGGAGAGGAAGAGAAAGGAGAGAGGGGGAGGAAAAGGGAGGGGAUAAUGGUGGGUUGUGUAAAAUUAAAAAAAAUUCCAAAAAAAUUAUAAAUUAUAAAAAUAUUCAAAAAUAUAUUUUAAAAAUAUCUCUAAAAAUAAUUCAAAAAACAUCUACAGUAAAAGUUUUUCAUAUACACAACUACAUUAAAGUUUUUGAAAAAUACCUCAAAAAACAGUUAAUCCAAAGAGCCGAUUGUUUCAAAAAAUUGCACAACUUUUUGUUGAAUAUUGGCCCUAACUAAAAGCCAUUUAUUAAUUUUAAAGUGUUUCUUUGUUUUUUUUUUUUGGCUUUAAUCUUCAUAAAGAAACAAGGUAGCUGAUAAUUAAGAGUCCGUGGUGUAUAUCUAAUUUUUAAUUUUUUUUUUUGUAUAGAAACAAUUAAAAUUGUCCGUUUGAAUUGCUAUUUUUUUGCAUUUUUGUAAAAAAAAAAAAAAAAAAGGGUACUGUAACGAUUUGAUGUAUGUGAAACAAAAAUGUGAUUGAAAAAUGUAUUCUUAGAUAACGUAAAAUUUUUUUGAAUAUAAAUGGCAAUCCAAACAAAAACAAAAGUACUAUUGCUUAUUCACUCGUAUUAUGAAUAUCCGUUGUUGGAGGAGAGUGAUGAUUCAACAAAUUUUCACAUAUUGCGCCCUCUUCUGCAUCCUUCUCCCCUUUUGACCCAAAACUUUUGGGUAUAAGGUUCAUCAACUCUCUCUGAUUGAGUCCCAAACCCCUCGAAAAGGCCUAACACGAUAGUCUUCUAAUUCAUUUUCACUUCUUCAGCGAGUUUGAAAUUGAUUUACAACCUGCUAUAUUUGCUAUCCCAACCGACCUUUCGCCUAAUUCGGAUUGACUUGAGUUCAAGUAACUUGAUUUACUCAAAUACUCACUACUGUAUCUCAAGUUCUAUACUGUAAAAGCCUAUUUCAACAACUUAACUAGCAUCGAAUUCUAUUCAAUAAGGAAGGUUUACUCGGUCGUCACAAAAGUCUGGACGAGUUUCUGAUGCGACCAGCCCCACUGGAAUACCGAGCCGUGUUUCAGGCUACUUGGUGCAUAUCGUCCCAAGUUCCACCUUCUAGGUGAUAGCACUGAAGAUGACCUUUUCUGGGUCUAUGGAACUGAUCAUUGACCGUCAACGGCAAUAUAAUAUUUUUUUAGACGAUAAUUAUUGUAUAAUUUAUUUUAUUUUAUAUUAAAAAGAUCGGAUGAAUCUGAAAAAAUUCAAAAAUAAUUCGAAAGACAUCGAAUCACCACAAAAUCGAAACAGAUGCACCACACAUUCAUCUAAAUUUUUAAGCAGAGCUAUAUAAUAUAAUAAUUAAAGAGAAAAGAUUUAAAUAAUUGGCUUCCCAACCCACCAAGCUUGAAUGCCAAAGGCUGGUCGUUGGCACGAUAUUGUCAUUGUGGGUCAUCUUAUUUAGUGAUGUUUCUUUGUAUCUUCUGAAGCUGUCGUCAUCUAAGCAAAGGGCCCUAUAAAUAGGUAGAGCGGCAGUUGACUAGCACGGCAGAAUAACCCAUUCUAAGGCCGAAAGAAGAACGACUUCUGCAGUCUCUUUUCUCAGCUAGAGCUGUUCAUUUUUUUUUCAGUCGUUUUACUUGCGGAAUUAAGGCAAUGAAGGUGAUGCUCUGAUUCAUUUAUUUAACUUAAUCUUGUGCCUUGUCUGGCAAAAGAUAUGUAGCUAACUAAUUUCAAUUUGGUUCCUUGAUUUUGUUACCUGCAGCAAAAAGUCGUGAUUAAACUUUCUAUGAAUGAUGAGAAGUCCCGCAAGAAGGCCUUCAAAACUGUUGUCGGUCACGCAGGUAAAGAAGAAAGUUCAAUUUUUCAAGAAUUAGAUUCCGCAAAAUACGUGAUAAAACUGAUUCUAUUACCUUAGUUCUUGAGAUUCUAAGAAAGAAUUCGGCUGAGAUUCUUAUACAGAUUCUGACCAUCAUUCCUCUGCUUUAUCUUCAGGUGUGGAAUCUACGGCUUUGCAGGGAAAGGAAAAGGAUCAAAUAGAGGUUGUUGGAGAUGGGAUUGAUGCAGUGAAGCUUGCAACUUUGCUCAGAAAAAAUGUUGGGUAUGCAGAGCUUGUGACCGUGAGCCCAGUUGGUGAGAAGAAAGAUGGUGAUAAAAAAGAAGAUGGCAAGAAAGAUCCCAGUUCUACACAGCCACCUGUGGUUUGGUCCACUCAUCCUUAUGUUUACAGCAGCGUACCUCACCAUCUCUAUCAAGUUAGAGACCCCUAUGAUGACUCCAACUGCACCAUCAUGUAAGAAUGCAGGUCAC
RNAcentral lists this long non-coding RNA (5309 nucleotides) under Coffea arabica (coffee). Its description in RNAcentral is "long non-coding RNA (CARA_LNC003879)". Lineage: Eukaryota; Viridiplantae; Streptophyta; Magnoliopsida; Gentianales; Rubiaceae. The record is from RNAcentral.